Molecule: ribosomal RNA, 752 nt
Filed under: bacterium enrichment culture clone SC-2_39
Lineage: Bacteria
Description: bacterial SSU rRNA
Rfam family: Bacterial small subunit ribosomal RNA
Source: RNAcentral
UAGAGUUUGAUCCUGGCUCAGAUUGAACGCUGGCGGCAUGCCUUACACAUGCAAGUCGGACGGCAGCGCGGGCUUCGGCCUGGCGGCGAGUGGCGAACGGGUGAGUAAUACAUCGGAACGUGUCCUGGAGUGGGGGAUAGCCCGGCGAAAGCCGGAUUAAUACCGCAUACGCUCUGCGGAGGAAAGCGGGGGACCUUCGGGCCUCGCGCUCAAGGGGCGGCCGAUGGCAGAUUAGCUAGUUGGUGGGGUAAAGGCCUACCAAGGCGACGAUCUGUAGCUGGUCUGAGAGGACGACCAGCCACACUGGGACUGAGACACGGCCCAGACUCCUACGGGAGGCAGCAGUGGGGAAUUUUGGACAAUGGGGGCAACCCUGAUCCAGCAAUGCCGCGUGUGUGAAGAAGGCCUUCGGGUUGUAAAGCACUUUUGUCCGGAAAGAAAGCGUCCUGGCUAAUACCCGGGGCGGAUGACGGUACCGGAAGAAUAAGCACCGGCUAACUACGUGCCAGCAGCCGCGGUAAUACGUAGGGUGCGAGCGUUAAUCGGAAUUACUGGGCGUAAAGCGUGCGCAGGCGGUUCGCUAAGACCGAUGUGAAAUCCCCGGGCUUAACCUGGGAACUGCAUUGGUGACUGGCGGGCUAGAGUAUGGCAGAGGGAGGUAGAAUUCCACGUGUAGCAGUGAAAUGCGUAGAGAUGUGGAGGAAUACCGAUGGCGAAGGCAGCCUCCUGGGCCAAUACUGACGCUCAUGCAC